UGCGACCUUGUGUGUUGUGCGAAUGACCAGACAGUCAUGCUCUCUGUUUGAGCUCUCGCAUAGGGACCUAGGUGUGUUAUGCAAGAGACUUGAGGUCCUACACCUCUGCAAGCUAAUUCGCUAUGCGAAUUUAGGAGGAUGCACUGUGAAAAACAACCUUGUCUCACCUUGCGGAAGGAGGUGCGCUGUGCGAAUUCCCCG
RNAcentral lists this long non-coding RNA (201 nucleotides) under Vigna radiata. RNAcentral's name for it is "long non-coding RNA (VRAD_LNC004870)". Lineage: Eukaryota; Viridiplantae; Streptophyta; Magnoliopsida; Fabales; Fabaceae. The record is from RNAcentral.